GACGAACGCUGGCGGCGUGCUUAACACAUGCAAGUCGAACGGAAAGGCCCUGCUUGCAGGGUACUCGAGUGGCGAACGGGUGAGUAACACGUGGGUGAUCUGCCCUGCACUUCGGGAUAAGCUUGGGAAACUGGGUCUAAUACCGGAUAGGAGCCAUCUUUAGUGUGGUGGUUGGAAAGUUUUUUCGGUGUAGGAUGAGCUCGCGGCCUAUCAGCUUGUUGGUGGGGUAAUGGCCUACCAAGGCGGCGACGGGUAGCCGGCCUGAGAGGGUGUACGGCCACAUUGGGAAUGAGAUACGGCCCAGACUCCUACGGGAGGCAGCAGUGGGGAAUAUUGCACAAUGGGCGCAAGCCUGAUGCAGCGACGCCGCGUGGGGGAUGAAGGCCUUCGGGUUGUAAACUCCUUUCGCUAGGGACGAAGCUUUUUUGUGACGGUACCUAGAUAAGAAGCACCGGCUAACUACGUG
This 466-nucleotide ribosomal RNA is filed under the name uncultured bacterium. Its description in RNAcentral is "partial 16S ribosomal RNA". It matches the Rfam family "Bacterial small subunit ribosomal RNA", at positions 28 to 507 of the family's 1533-position model. The record is from RNAcentral.